This 156-nucleotide small RNA is filed under the name pig gut metagenome. RNAcentral describes it as "M-box riboswitch (ykoK leader)". It matches the Rfam family "M-box riboswitch aptamer (ykoK leader)", at positions 11 to 159 of the family's 169-position model. Rfam says of the family: M-box riboswitch, also know as ykoK leader is described as a metaloregulatory RNA that sense divalent metals and function as a genetic control element of genes related to divalent metal transport in bacteria. The record is from RNAcentral.
UGAUUUGUUAGGCAGAGGCUCCUAUACAAACACAGGCUACUGCCCAGGAACGUCUAGAGACGCCAACGGGUAUAACAGAAAUUUUCGAUGUAAGGAAUUUUUUAACGUAGCUAACAUGUAUAUGUUUACGUUGUAUAGUGCUGAAACUCCACGAAA